Molecule: ribosomal RNA, 319 nt
Filed under: uncultured Pichia
Lineage: Eukaryota; Fungi; Ascomycota; Saccharomycetes; Saccharomycetales; Saccharomycetaceae
Description: SSU rRNA
Rfam family: Eukaryotic small subunit ribosomal RNA
Source: RNAcentral
AAUUCCAGCUCCAAUAGCGUAUAUUAAAGUUGUUGCAGUUAAAAAGCUCGUAGUUGAACCUUGGGCUUGGCUGGCCGGUCCGCCUUUUUGGCGAGUACUGGAUCCAACCGAGCCUUUCCUUCUGGCUAACCAUUUGCCCCUGUGGUGGAUGGCGAACCAGGAUUUUUACUUUGAGAAAAUUAGAGUGUUCAAAGCAGGCCUUUGCUCGAAUAUAUUAGCAUGGAAUAAUAGAAUAGGACGUUAUGGUUCUAUUUUGUUGGUUUCUAGGACCAUCGUAAUGAUUAAUAGGAACGGUCGGGGGCAUCAGUAUUCAGUGUCA